Asparagus officinalis (garden asparagus) is the source of this 367-nucleotide long non-coding RNA. RefSeq lists it as uncharacterized. The transcript is spliced from 3 exons. The record is from RefSeq and is a predicted model, not a curated record. NCBI's taxonomy places the organism in Eukaryota, Viridiplantae, Streptophyta, Magnoliopsida, Asparagales, Asparagaceae.
UUUAAGAUGAUGGAUCAAAUGUAAAACCCUAGAAAUUGGGGGUUUCGUUAUGCAUACCUUUGAGGAUCGAAAUCAAACUGCUCUGGAGAAUGUUUUUAGCUGGGAUUUGAGCGAAACCCUAGCUGAAAUCGAGCUCCGACGAGCAAAGGAAGUGGAUCCAGGAGGAGAGCUGGGCGCGGACGCUACAAUUCCUUGGAUGGUAGCUAGCAGGGCAACAGAUGACAACUGAAAAUAUCCGGCUAGAGAAGUAAAAGCAUCAAUGGCGACGAUGAGCACUUCUUUAGAGGAAUAGAAGAGGCAAAUAAAAGAGAGAAGCGCUACAGAGCAAUAAACACAUUAUGAAAGCUCUCUAGGAGAUCUACGGAGG